Molecule: RNA transcript, 1575 nt
Organism: Phalaenopsis equestris
Lineage: Eukaryota; Viridiplantae; Streptophyta; Magnoliopsida; Asparagales; Orchidaceae
Gene name: protein NRT1/ PTR FAMILY 2.4-like
Exons: 5
Source: RefSeq, a predicted model, not a curated record
GCUUCUCCUCACAUUAACGGCUAUUCUGCCUUCCUUGCACCCACCACCUUGCGCUCCUUCGACCCCUUGCGACCAGCCCCCAAUGGCUUCCCAGCUUGCCGUCCUCUUCACCGCCAUAGCCCUCCUUGCCACCGGCAUCGCCGGAACUCGCUACAAUGGCAUGACCAUGGGCGCCAACCAGUUCUCUACUGAUUCAGACCGCACCGCCUUCUUCAACUGGUGCUUUGUUUCCCUCUACCUCUCGUCCAUCUCUGGCAUCACCAUCCUUGUCUACAUUCAGGACUCUGCUGGCUGGCACUGGGGCUUCGCUCUUUGCACCGCCAUUACUGCCAUUGCCUUCCUCAUCUACCUCUGUGGAAGGCCCUACUACCUCCACUCCAAGCCCAAUGUCAAUAAAAACCAGUUGUUAAGCCUCUGUAGAGAAGGAAAGCUUCUUCUUAGAUUUCUCCCAAUAAUCUCGAGCGGCAUACUGCUCAGUGCUACUAUUUCAGUACAGACAAGCCUGACAGUUCUGCAGGCUCUGGCGAUGGACCGUCACCUAAGCCACGGUCUCUACAUACCUGCUGGAUCUAUGAAUGUCUUUGUGCUUGCUACUGCUGCAGCAUCCAUCACUGUCCUUAAUUGCACCCGGUGUAGACUUUCCCCACUUGGCCGAGUCGCCAUCGGACAUGUUAUCAAUUUGCUCGCCAUGGCAGCAAUGGCCUUGACUGAAUCAAAAAGGCUCGCUGUUUCGACUACGAAGACUUUGUCUGUUCUUUGGCUGGUUCCACCUCUAGUACUUGUAGGAUUUGGAGAAGCUUUUCAUUUCCCUGCUAGUGUUUCAUUUUAUUACCAGGAUUUUCCUGCUUCUCUGAAGAGCAUCGCGACGGGAACAUUUGCUGUUGUUUCUGGGACUGGUUUUUAUGUGAGCUCAGCGAUUAUCACGGUGAUACGCCGCAACACUGUAUGGCUUCGAGAUGAUGUCAAUGAGUCGAGAUUGGAUAAGGUCUACUUAACUCUUGCUGGUUGUUGCUUGCUCAAUUUUGUGUACUUCCUGCUUUGUGCUUGGCUCUACAAAAGGACAACGGAGAAUAGAGGCGUGAAAUUGGAGGAGCUUUAUUAACUUAUAUGUGUUAUAGAAGUGAGCAGCUGCAAUGAGAUCAUCUUCUACUUGGCUCUGUACGAACCGUAUGCCGGACCUCUGUACAGAAGACGCUCGAUCGUCAGAAAAGACGAAUUUGUAGAAUUUUACUGGGGGCAUUUGCAUACAUAUCACCCAAUUCCGAUGUAUUUAUAACCAAAACUUCACCUUUUUCAUGCAUAGAUAUCAUGCAGGCUGGGGAGGCCACCGUUGGCUUAUGAACAAGUGUGUAUCAAAGUAAUGAAAAAAGGAUUCCAACAUCCACAACUUGAAAAUGCACAAAAUCACCACAAUUCUUCACCAUCGCCUCCAAAAGCUGCAAUUAUUCCCCACAAACUAUUACAAUUGCACAAAAAGGUCAAUGAAAGAUUACAUCCAUACCGUCAGAGCAAGGAACUGAACCCUGGAGUUCUUGUUUCGCAGGCGUUUCUUCACAGCCUUGACAAAAGGUUUUG